GUUAGCCAGGAUGGUCUCGACCUCCUGACCUCGUGAUCUGCCCGCCUCGGCCUCCCAAAGUGCUGGGAUUCCGUCCGGGCAUUUUUCAAUCAGAGUUGGCAUCUCCCCACCUCUCAGCCAACCCAAGUCCCUAAAAGCCCAUGGCAAGUGUGUGUUUCACAAGACAGAUGUGCAAUGAUCUGAGGGCUCAGAGACCGUGAGGCCGCCUGCUCUGUGUGAGAGAAGCACAGACUUUCUCAAGUGUGAACUGAGCAGCAGUGUUGGGUCGUGGACAGACCGAGGACUGGGAGUCACAGCCCCAGGCACUUCUGGUCCUUCCCUGACUGGCUGAUGCCUGCCUGACCCACCUGUGGGUCCUCACCUGGAACAUACAGGUGCUGGGUCCCUUCCAGCUUCACAGUCCUACUUUGCCCCACUAGGUGUGUUUUCUCUGCAGCUUCCCUGUCUGAGGACAUCCUAGAGAUGGGUGAUGAUGGGACUUCCUAUUGUCCUUAAACCCUGAGGAUACUGAGCAGCCUGGCCUGGGACUGUAUGUUUCAGCAGAAAUAACAGGGGACACCAGGGGCAAGCCUGAAGGUAGCUCAGUCGUCAGGCAGCAGAACCACAAGACCAGGAUCUCCCCUCUGGGCUGCAGAUGCCUAAGAAGAAAGGAACUGAACCAACUCUGGUAUUGGGGUCCACAGAUGCCAAAUAAGGCCCCUGGAGUAGAGGAGAGGUUAAGACUGUGGCUGAAGACAAAUCUCCUGUAACUGAUCUUCCAGUUACGGUCUGUGUGACCUUGAUAUAGUGACUGUAUUUAUUGCCAUGUGGCUCAGUUUCCCCUCAGUGAAAUAGUAUAAAUGGUUAAUGGUUUUGGCUUAUCUUGUGGUCUGUGAAUUAACCUUAAAAUAUUUAUAAUUAUUUGACCUCAGCUCUGCAUAGGGGAGCUGCCCAAAUAAACAAUCUUAUUUUAUUUUA
RNAcentral lists this long non-coding RNA (957 nucleotides) under Homo sapiens (human). RNAcentral's name for it is "HSALNT0398072". Lineage: Eukaryota; Metazoa; Chordata; Mammalia; Primates; Hominidae. The record is from RNAcentral.